AAAAAUAGACAGAGAAAAUGGCGCAUGGAACCUAAGAACAACAUAAUGAAAAUGCCGAACCCCCAGCUCCCUUCUUCUCCCCGCUUCUCCAUUUCUCAAAAUACACACACACAUCAAUCAUACACACGCAAAAACAACCAAAAGAAAAAAUCGCUUUAUGAGAGAGCCAUGGAUUAUUGAGUUGAAGAAAUCUGAAAUUUUCAAUUUUUAAAAGGAAUUAUAAAAAAGGAAGAAGAACCAAUUUGGUUCUCAAUUCUGUCGGCGCUGCUGUUGAUGCUGAAUUUCUACUGGGCUUCAGUCGAGUCCGUCUCGAUUUUUUGGUUCAUUUUAUCCAAUGUAAUCCGUUAUUUUCAGUGAGUUGAAGACUAGCAACAACAUUGAUGUAAGUUUACCUUUUUUUUAAUUGUCUUCAUUAAGAUAUCAUUCAGGUAUUUCUAUGAUUAGAACUUUUCUUUUCGUUAUUCUUUUGUAGGAUUGGUUUUCAGUU
This 487-nucleotide long non-coding RNA is filed under the name Nicotiana tabacum (common tobacco). Its description in RNAcentral is "long non-coding RNA (NTAB_LNC003745)". The record is from RNAcentral. Lineage: Eukaryota; Viridiplantae; Streptophyta; Magnoliopsida; Solanales; Solanaceae.